UAGGGAAUCUUCCACAAUGGACGCAAGUCUGAUGGAGCAACGCCGCGUGAGUGAAGAAGGUUUUCGGACCGUAAAGCUCUGUUGUUGGUGAAGAAGGAUAGAGGUAGUAACUGGCCUUUAUUUGACGGUAAUCAACCAGAAAGUCACGGCUAACUACGUGCCAGCAGCCGCGGUAAUCGUAGGUGGCAAGCGUUGUCCGGAUUUAUUGGGCGUAAAGCGAGCGCAGGCGGAAGAAUAAGUCUGAUGUGAAAGCCCUCGGCUUAACCGAGGAAUUGCAUCGGAAACUGUUUUCUUGAGUGCAGAAGAGGAGAGUAGAACUCCAUGUGUAGCGGUGGAAUGCGUAGAUAUAUGGAAGAAUACCAGUGGCGAAGGCGGCUCUCUGGUCUGCAACUGACGCUGAGGCUCGAAAGCAUGGGUAGCGAACAGGAUUAGAUACCCUGGUAGUCCAUGCCGUAAACGAUGAGUGCUAAGUGUUGGGAGGCUUCCGCCUCUCAGUGCUGCAGCUAACGCAUUAAGCACUCCGCCUGGGGGAGUACGACCGCAAGGUUGAAAC
RNAcentral lists this ribosomal RNA (553 nucleotides) under uncultured bacterium. Its description in RNAcentral is "partial 16S ribosomal RNA". It matches the Rfam family "Bacterial small subunit ribosomal RNA", at positions 355 to 900 of the family's 1533-position model. The record is from RNAcentral.